Molecule: ribosomal RNA, 510 nt
Filed under: Athanas parvus
Lineage: Eukaryota; Metazoa; Arthropoda; Malacostraca; Decapoda; Alpheidae
Description: partial large subunit ribosomal RNA
Rfam family: Bacterial large subunit ribosomal RNA
Source: RNAcentral
GCCCACUGACGUAGUGUUUAAGGGCCGCAGUAAUUUGACUGUGCAAAGGUAGCAUAAUAAAUAGUUUUUUAAUUGAAGACUUGAAUGAACGGUUGGACGAUAAAGAAGCUGUUUCUACAGUUAGAUCUAUAAUUUAACUUUUAUGUGAAAAGUCAUAAAUGUUACAGAGGGACGAUAAGACCCUAUAAAACUUUACAUUAUGGCUAUCAGCUCUUCAAUAGAAUAAACAGAGAUUUUAGUUAAAGUGUUUUGCUGGGGCGGCAAUAAUGUAAUUAGUAACUGUUAAUUAAGUAUUAAUAACAAUGAUUAGUUUUUGAACCUUUAGUAUUAGGAUUACGAGAUCAAGUUACUUUAGGGAUAACAGCGUUAUUUUUCUUGAGAGUUCAUAUCGAAAGAAUGAGUUGCGACCUCGAUGUUGAAUUAAAGUACUCAUUCAGGGGCAGCACCUUGAGCUUGUAGGUCUGUUCGACCUUUAAUACUUUACAUGAUUUGAGUUCAGACCGGCGUGAG